This 202-nucleotide non-coding RNA is filed under the name Christensenella minuta. RNAcentral describes it as "raiA RNA". It matches the Rfam family "raiA RNA". The record is from Rfam by way of RNAcentral. Lineage: Bacteria; Bacillati; Bacillota; Clostridia; Christensenellales; Christensenellaceae.
AGGAUCCGCGCCUGUGGUUGAAAGCCGAUGCCAGUCGCAGGCAAAACGGUCCACGUAAGCAGCGCUCCGGCGCGGCGAGCAUAGUGCGGCUAGACGUAAGCCCGCCCGCCCGGCAAAGGGCGAGAGGAGUAAGAGUGGCCUAAACGGCUGCGGGGCUUCCAGGCGGCGGAUGUGGGGGAAAAGACCAGGUCAGGCGGAUCCU